Apis mellifera (honey bee) is the source of this 138-nucleotide non-coding RNA. NCBI's taxonomy places the organism in Eukaryota, Metazoa, Arthropoda, Insecta, Hymenoptera, Apidae. The record is from RefSeq and is marked provisional.
CGGGACAGAACUGGCUCGUAUUUUAUUUCAAGUGUCAAACCUCCUCUCGAAACCUCCGCUCCGUGAGAGACGUUUCGCGUCCGAGCGGAAAGAGGAGAAAGAAAGGAAGAAAUAAAGAGAGGAACCGUCGUGUAUCGU